GGUGAGUAACACGUGGAUAACCUACCUAUAAGACUGGGAUAACUUCGGGAAACCGGAGCUAAUACCGGAUAAUAUAUUGAACCGCAUGGUUCAAUAGUGAAAGACGGUUUUGCUGUCACUUAUAGAUGGAUCCGCGCCGCAUUAGCUAGUUGGUAAGGUAAUGGCUUACCAAGGCAACGAUGCGUAGCCGACCUGAGAGGGUGAUCGGCCACACUGGAACUGAGACACGGUCCAG
Molecule: ribosomal RNA, 235 nt
Filed under: uncultured Staphylococcus sp.
Lineage: Bacteria; Bacillati; Bacillota; Bacilli; Caryophanales; Staphylococcaceae
Description: partial 16S ribosomal RNA
Rfam family: Bacterial small subunit ribosomal RNA
Source: RNAcentral